Molecule: transfer RNA, 97 nt
Filed under: Rivularia sp. (in: cyanobacteria)
Lineage: Bacteria; Bacillati; Cyanobacteriota; Cyanophyceae; Nostocales; Rivulariaceae
Description: Rivularia sp. (in: Bacteria) tRNA-Asn
Rfam family: tRNA
About the family: Transfer RNA (tRNA) molecules are approximately 80 nucleotides in length. Their secondary structure includes four short double-helical elements and three loops (D, anti-codon, and T loops). Further hydrogen bonds mediate the characteristic L-shaped molecular structure. tRNAs have two regions of fundamental functional importance: the anti-codon, which is responsible for specific mRNA codon recognition, and the 3' end, to which the tRNAs corresponding amino acid is attached (by aminoacyl-tRNA synthetases). tRNAs cope with the degeneracy of the genetic code in two manners: having more than one tRNA (with a specific anti-codon) for a particular amino acid; and 'wobble' base-pairing, i.e. permitting non-standard base-pairing at the 3rd anti-codon position.
Source: RNAcentral
UGCCCUAUAGCUCAACUGGCAGAGCAAGCAACUGUUAACCGCGAGGUUGUAGGUACCCUUCAAGAACACCUUUGGUGAACAAGUCCUACUAGGGCAU